Molecule: long non-coding RNA, 1584 nt
Filed under: Anas platyrhynchos platyrhynchos (common mallard)
Lineage: Eukaryota; Metazoa; Chordata; Aves; Anseriformes; Anatidae
Description: lncRNA (ENSAPLG00000023408.1)
Source: RNAcentral
CAGGAUCGACCACGGGCACCACGAAGGCAUGGCCAAGAGGGCGUUGAUGGAAGCGGUGGAGUUUGACCACGCCAUCAGCAAGGCGAGCAGCCUGACGAACGAGGCAGACACCCUCACCGUGGUCACCGCCGACCACUCGCACGUCUUCUCCUUCGGUGGCUACCUCCUGCGUGGCACCUCCAUCUUCGGUAGGGCACCGAGAGUGGGGACAGCCCCGCGCCGGGUGCUGUCUGCUCCGGGGUGGUGAUGUAGGGGGGUUUCAGGGCUGAAAACCCGCUCCCCAUUUUCCUCUCCCCAGGCCUGGCCCCCCUAAAAGCCUCCGAUUUGAAGAGCUACACGUCCAUCCUCUAUGGGAACGGGCCGGGCUACGUGGGUGGCAACAGGACUGAACUGAAUGACACCAUCAUCGAGAGUUACGACUACAAGCAGCAGUCCGCUGUGCCCCUCUCCUCGGAGUCCCACGGGGGCGAGGACGUGGCCAUCAUGGCCAAGGGCCCCAUGGCCCACCUCUUCCGCGGGGUGCAGGAGCAGACCUACAUCGCCCACGUCAUGGCCUACGCCGCCUGCCUCGAGCCCUACACCAACUGCCGCCAGCGCAACGCCGCGCCCCCAGCCCAUGCCACCCCCCUGGCCAUGCUCCUUCCCGCCCUGUUCCUGCCCCUCUUCUACUGACCCCAUAGCCCUGCGGUGCCCGCGGGCUCUGCCGGACCCACAGCCUUCCAUCCCCGUGCCCUGGGGCUGUUCGGUGGCUGCAGGGUGCCAAAUCCCAGUGCUUGAUGUUAAAUAAAGGCAGGAGCUGGUAGGAGACGUGGCGGAAAAUCAUGCGGGUGUCUGCACCAUGAGGGUGCUGCGAGUUUGGGGAGGAUGCUCCUGACCCCUGCAUCUCCUCACCAUGGUCGGUGCCCACUGCCACCUGGUCCCAUCCACGGCCCCAUGCACCCCUGGCAUAUCCAGUGCUUUAUUGACCAGAAACAGCAGCGAAAAAUACAGCGUGUGUCCGUGUCCCCGUGCCCCUGGGGAGGCUGGCAUCACCCCGGCCCCCAGCCCACCCCGGUGGUGGGGCUGAUGGGGACGGGACGGGGCUGGCACAGGGACAAGCACCAGGCUUUUGGCACGGGACAGCCCCGCAGCACCCCUGGGUCACCCGCCCUGCCCUGAGCAGCUGGGUGUGGGGAAGGGUUUGGGGAGGUGGACGAGAGGGUCCCGUGGGUGGGGAGCUCAUACCCCCACCCCCAGGGGGCUCCUCUGCCUUGGCACCCCCUGCAGCGGGUGAAUAUUUUGGGGAUGCCCCAAAAUGUGCCUGGAGGAGGGGGGCAGGCAGAGGGUGGCACCUGGGCAGGGAUGGGGACCGGGAGAGUGCCAGCCCGCGGGGACAGCGGCCUCACCACACCGAGCACUUGUGCGUCGGGUUCAUGGGCGAGUUCUUGGGGCAGUGGAAAACGCGGCCGAACUCCUCGAACUGCGAGACGCUGCCCAGGACCCUGCCGGGGCCAAAUGGGGAAGGGGGACACAGCUCAGAGCUGGGCACCCCCACAAAGGGGAUGCCCACCGAGGACCCUGCCCCUCACCCCAGCACCCCCAGCC